Molecule: ribosomal RNA, 304 nt
Filed under: Pyrinomonadaceae bacterium
Lineage: Bacteria; Pseudomonadati; Acidobacteriota; Blastocatellia; Blastocatellales; Pyrinomonadaceae
Description: partial 16S ribosomal RNA
Rfam family: Bacterial small subunit ribosomal RNA
Source: RNAcentral
UACAAAGGGUUGCGAAGCCGCGAGGUGAAGCCAAUCCCAAAAAGCGGCCCUCAGUUCGGAUUGCAGUCUGCAACUCGACUGCAUGAAGCUGGAAUCGCUAGUAAUCGUGGAUCAGCUACGCCACGGUGAAUACGUUCCCGGGCCUUGUACACACCGCCCGUCACGCCAUGGAAGCUGUGAGCGCCCGAAGUCCGUGCCGGAACCCGCAAGGGACCAAGCGGCCGAAGGCGAGCGCAGUGACUGGGGCGAAGUCGUAACAAGGUAGCCGUAGGGGAACCUGCGGCUGGAUCACCUCCUUUCUGGA